CUCCUUCUCCUCCCCCCCCGCCGGUUGUCUGCCGGCGGGCUCCUGACAGAUCGCGUGUGCGCGGCUCUGGGCGGCGCUCUGCGGCCGCCCCGUCCUCCCCACGCGCGUCACUGUCCUCGGGGGCGGGGGGCGAGGGCGCGGCGCCUGGGUCGCCUCUCUGCGCCUCAACUUUACCGGAGCGCGCACACCCGCCUGCCAGGCUGACCCGAGCGCGUCCCACCCAAGGUCGCCCAGCCCCGCGGGCGUUUACUUUUCAAAGGCCCCUGAGGAUGAAGGUAACCGUCCUGUGAGCACUGAGGCUGGGCCGGGACCAACACCUGAGCCAUGGCUCCAGCGCUCUGAUUCCUGGCCCAGCCAUGCUGCUGAGGGUGCACAGCCCAGGCCUACCAUCGCCCCCACCCUUGGUGGCAGAACCGAGCACUACCCAGCAAGGUAGGUGUUGGCUGCUGCAGCAUUUAUGCGGCCCUCCUGUUGGUUGGGGUCUUCCGGGAACACGCUCUAGAGCUGCGUUGUCCAGUGGGUAGGGUCAGCUGCAGGUGGAGAGUUCAAGUUAAAUUAACCUGAAGUAGAAUUCAGUGCCUUAGUCACACUGGUCACAUUUCAAGUGCUCAGUAACCUCCCAUGACUAAGUGACUGCCAGUAUUGGAUAGCAGUCACUCUUGAGGGUCACCCAGACCUUUACCUCUUGUGACCUACUCUACUUUACCACAUUGCAACUGCCGCAACUAUGGCUCCUGUGGCAAACGUCAAACUCUUUUUGUCUCGUCCGACCAGCACUUCAGCUCCUAGGAUUUGUUCCUGUUUUACUCUGGGACUUGCUGCCCUGUCCCAUGCCCAGAGAUAUUAGAACCUCAAUUUGCGUCCUGUCCCCCUCCCCACCCAGCCAUUGCAGCCUAAGGAAAUCCUGGCCAUCUUUGAGAAAGCCUUCCUGGCCUCCCUUUGCCCACUUCUCAGCGCGGCUGCUUAUGGCACAGGGGUGUGUGAGUGUGUGAGUGAGUGAGAUUGAUUCUUCCAUCAGAAUCGUGCGCUUCUGGUGAUCAGAGUCUGCUGCUUGUAGCAACUUAAACAUACUUGAAUGUAUGAGCAAGGUGAAUGACUGUGACCUGACGAGGAAAUGGGUAAAUGCAUCUGAUACAAGCCAAGAGGCCCUCU
RNAcentral lists this long non-coding RNA (1152 nucleotides) under Piliocolobus tephrosceles (Ugandan red Colobus). RNAcentral describes it as "lncRNA (ENSPTEG00000039433.1)". Lineage: Eukaryota; Metazoa; Chordata; Mammalia; Primates; Cercopithecidae. The record is from RNAcentral.